RNAcentral lists this ribosomal RNA (372 nucleotides) under uncultured organism. Its description in RNAcentral is "partial 16S ribosomal RNA". It matches the Rfam family "Bacterial small subunit ribosomal RNA", at positions 527 to 896 of the family's 1533-position model. The record is from RNAcentral.
GUAGGUGGCAAGCGUUGUCCGGAUUAUUGGGCGUAAAGCGCGCGCAGGCGGUUCUUUAAGUCUGAUGUGAAAGCCCACGGCUCAACCGUGGAGGGUCAUUGGAAACUGGAGAACUUGAGUACAGAAGAGGAAAGCGGAAUUCCACGUGUAGCGGUGAAAUGCGUAGAGAUGUGGAGGAACACCAGUGGCGAAGGCGGCUUUCUGGUCUGUAACUGACGCUGAGGCGCGAAAGCGUGGGGAGCAAACAGGGAUUAGAUACCCUGGUAGUCCACGCCGUAAACGAUGAGUGCUAAGUGUUAGGGGGUUUCCGCCCCCUUAGUGCUGCAGCUAACGCAUUAAGCACUCCGCCUGGGGAGUACGGCCGCAAGGCUG